Molecule: long non-coding RNA, 740 nt
Filed under: Salmo salar (Atlantic salmon)
Lineage: Eukaryota; Metazoa; Chordata; Actinopteri; Salmoniformes; Salmonidae
Description: lncRNA (ENSSSAG00000117968.1)
Source: RNAcentral
GACGUUAGCCAAUAGUCACUCGGGUAGCAGCUAGCUAGCUGCAAGAUCCAGGUGUAAAUGUCCAGAGCCUGCGGUAGAAAUCCGGGGAUAUGGAGAGAAAAUAGGUCCGGUGUGCUCUGGUCUGAGUCGCACUGUACAAAACUGGCGAUAGCUUUUCGAGCAAAGGGAUAGCUGAUGACCGCCAACCGUGGCUAGCUGAACUCCAACGUUAGCCAGUGAACUGGCCAAACUCUGGCUAACCUCUGGCUAGCUUCUGCUGUGGAUUUCAGAUUUGAGCUCUCCCAGCUCCAUGGGACAAACAGGAAGUUCACCUUGCUGCAUGCCCUUGUGGAGCAGAUCAUGUUGCACGAAGCCGGCUUGGCCACUUUUCCCCAAGAGUUGGCGGAAUUCAAAACUGUCCCUGGGGCUUCCAUUAAAGGCCUCACUGCUGAAGUGGAUGUCCUCAAGAAUGAGUUACAGAAGGUCAUUCAGUACAGGAAAACGUACAAGAGAAGAAACCAAGGCGCGCAAUACCCAAAGUUUUCCAAAGACCUGAAGAUGAGCGCAUCAUAGUGUGGCGGUGAAGGGAAUUGCUAUUUGUCAAGUAUACUAUGACGAUUGAGAAGUACAACACAGAUCUCUCCCUGCUGACAAAGAGAUGUGAGGAAAUGAAGAAACUCUAUACUGACAUAUUGGGGGGGGGUCAAAAUCAAAGUAACAGUUGGAAUCUGAAGUGGCCACCAGCUGCAUUAAGUACUGCA